RNAcentral lists this ribosomal RNA (2896 nucleotides) under Salmonella enterica subsp. enterica serovar Newport. Its description in RNAcentral is "bacterial LSU rRNA". It matches the Rfam family "Bacterial large subunit ribosomal RNA". Lineage: Bacteria; Pseudomonadati; Pseudomonadota; Gammaproteobacteria; Enterobacterales; Enterobacteriaceae. The record is from RNAcentral.
ACUAAGCGUACACGGUGGAUGCCCUGGCAGUCAGAGGCGAUGAAGGGCGUGCUAAUCUGCGAUAAGCGCCGGUAAGGUGAUAUGAACCGUUAUAACCGGCGAUACCCGAAUGGGGAAACCCAGUGUGAUUCGUCACACUAUCAUUAACUGAAUCCAUAGGUUAAUGAGGCGAACCGGGGGAACUGAAACAUCUAAGUACCCCGAGGAAAAGAAAUCAACCGAGAUUCCCCCAGUAGCGGCGAGCGAACGGGGAGGAGCCCAGAGCCUGAAUCAGCAUGUGUGUUAGUGGAAGCGUCUGGAAAGGCGCGCGAUACAGGGUGACAGCCCCGUACACAAAAGCGCAUGUGCUGUGAGCUCGAUGAGUAGGGCGGGACACGUGGUAUCCUGUCUGAAUAUGGGGGGACCAUCCUCCAAGGCUAAAUACUCCUGACUGACCGAUAGUGAACCAGUACCGUGAGGGAAAGGCGAAAAGAACCCCGGCGAGGGGAGUGAAAAAGAACCUGAAACCGUGUACGUACAAGCAGUGGGAGCACAGGUUUACCUGUGUGACUGCGUACCUUUUGUAUAAUGGGUCAGCGACUUAUAUUCUGUAGCAAGGUUAACCGAAUAGGGGAGCCGGAGGGAAACCGAGUCUUAAUUGGGCGUUAAGUUGCAGGGUAUAGACCCGAAACCCGGUGAUCUAGCCAUGGGCAGGUUGAAGGUUGGGUAACACUAACUGGAGGACCGAACCGACUAAUGUUGAAAAAUUAGCGGAUGACCUGUGGCUGGGGGUGAAAGGCCAAUCAAACCGGGAGAUAGCUGGUUCUCCCCGAAAGCUAUUUAGGUAGCGCCUCGUGAAUUCAUCUCCGGGGGUAGAGCACUGUUUCGGCUAGGGGGCCAUCCCGGCUUACCAACCCGAUGCAAACUGCGAAUACCGGAGAAUGUUAUCACGGGAGACACACGGCGGGUGCUAACGUCCGUCGUGAAGAGGGAAACAACCCAGACCGCCAGCUAAGGUCCCAAAGUCAUGGUUAAGUGGGAAACGAUGUGGGAAGGCCCAGACAGCCAGGAUGUUGGCUUAGAAGCAGCCAUCAUUUAAAGAAAGCGUAAUAGCUCACUGGUCGAGUCGGCCUGCGCGGAAGAUGUAACGGGGCUAAACCAUGCACCGAAGCUGCGGCAGCGACACUGUGUGUUGUUGGGUAGGGGAGCGUUCUGUAAGCCUGUGAAGGUGGCCUGUGAGGGUUGCUGGAGGUAUCAGAAGUGCGAAUGCUGACAUAAGUAACGAUAAAGCGGGUGAAAAGCCCGCUCGCCGGAAGACCAAGGGUUCCUGUCCAACGUUAAUCGGGGCAGGGUGAGUCGACCCCUAAGGCGAGGCCGAAAGGCGUAGUCGAUGGGAAACAGGUUAAUAUUCCUGUACUUGGUGUUACUGCGAAGGGGGGACGGAGAAGGCUAUGUUGGCCGGGCGACGGUUGUCCCGGUUUAAGCGUGUAGGUGUGUGUUCCAGGUAAAUCCGGUUCACUUUAACACUGAGGCGUGAUGACGAGGCACUACGGUGCUGAAGCAACAAAUGCCCUGCUUCCAGGAAAAGCCUCUAAGCAUCAGGUAACAUCAAAUCGUACCCCAAACCGACACAGGUGGUCAGGUAGAGAAUACCAAGGCGCUUGAGAGAACUCGGGUGAAGGAACUAGGCAAAAUGGUGCCGUAACUUCGGGAGAAGGCACGCUGACACGUAGGUGAAGUGAUUUACUCAUGGAGCUGAAGUCAGUCGAAGAUACCAGCUGGCUGCAACUGUUUAUUAAAAACACAGCACUGUGCAAACACGAAAGUGGACGUAUACGGUGUGACGCCUGCCCGGUGCCGGAAGGUUAAUUGAUGGGGUCAGCGCAAGCGAAGCUCCUGAUCGAAGCCCCGGUAAACGGCGGCCGUAACUAUAACGGUCCUAAGGUAGCGAAAUUCCUUGUCGGGUAAGUUCCGACCUGCACGAAUGGCGUAAUGAUGGCCAGGCUGUCUCCACCCGAGACUCAGUGAAAUUGAACUCGCUGUGAAGAUGCAGUGUACCCGCGGCAAGACGGAAAGACCCCGUGAACCUUUACUAUAGCUUGACACUGAACAUUGAGCCUUGAUGUGUAGGAUAGGUGGGAGGCUUUGAAGCGUGGACGCCAGUCUGCGUGGAGCCGACCUUGAAAUACCACCCUUUAAUGUUUGAUGUUCUAACGUGGACCCGUAAUCCGGGUUGCGGACAGUGUCUGGUGGGUAGUUUGACUGGGGCGGUCUCCUCCUAAAGAGUAACGGAGGAGCACGAAGGUUGGCUAAUCCUGGUCGGACAUCAGGAGGUUAGUGCAAUGGCAUAAGCCAGCUUGACUGCGAGCGUGACGGCGCGAGCAGGUGCGAAAGCAGGUCAUAGUGAUCCGGUGGUUCUGAAUGGAAGGGCCAUCGCUCAACGGAUAAAAGGUACUCCGGGGAUAACAGGCUGAUACCGCCCAAGAGUUCAUAUCGACGGCGGUGUUUGGCACCUCGAUGUCGGCUCAUCACAUCCUGGGGCUGAAGUAGGUCCCAAGGGUAUGGCUGUUCGCCAUUUAAAGUGGUACGCGAGCUGGGUUUAGAACGUCGUGAGACAGUUCGGUCCCUAUCUGCCGUGGGCGCUGGAGAACUGAGGGGGGCUGCUCCUAGUACGAGAGGACCGGAGUGGACGCAUCACUGGUGUUCGGGUUGUCAUGCCAAUGGCACUGCCCGGUAGCUAAAUGCGGAAGAGAUAAGUGCUGAAAGCAUCUAAGCACGAAACUUGCCCCGAGAUGAGUUCUCCCUGAGACUUAGAGUCUCCUGAAGGAACGUUGAAGACGACGACGUUGAUAGGCCGGGUGUGUAAGCGCAGCGAUGCGUUGAGCUAACCGGUACUAAUGAACCGUGAGGCUUAACC